This 617-nucleotide long non-coding RNA is filed under the name Coturnix japonica (Japanese quail). Its description in RNAcentral is "lncRNA (ENSCJPG00005002037.1)". The record is from RNAcentral. Lineage: Eukaryota; Metazoa; Chordata; Aves; Galliformes; Phasianidae.
CAGCUGUGUGCCUGGUAGUCGUUGCAGUCAGCAGGUAGCUGAGCAGUAUGUCUACAUUUCACAUGUUUCACAUUGUUCUCCUCGUGGGCGUUAAUACGAGAAGUUUUCUUGCUAGCGCUGGGAACAUUUUCUUCUAUCCGAAAGGGAAAUUCCCACAAGUAGCAUGAACAUAGGGUCAGUGCUCUGGCCGACAGAUUUAGCUGAAACCUGUGCUCCUGACUCCUGAACUCGUGCGAAUGGGGGUCUAACGGGUUCCUUGAGAUGGUCGGGCCAGGCAGGAAGGAAAGAUCAAAAUAUGUGAAGUUUUUCCUUGGUCCGAUGCAGUGGAGUGUAAGAAAAAACUAUUAACGUACAUCAUCGAGCCACGCACGCCACUGCUGGACAAGUACAACAGAAGGAGAAAACUGCAGGUGCAGGUGUCAUUUUGGUUGCCACCUGGCCCCAAAGACAAUUUCAUCCAGAGUGACCUUUGCAGAAGAGAUGGAGAAAGGUUAGAAGAUUGGUUAGAAGAUGACUGCCCAUCUCAUCUUCUUCACGCAACAGGAUUCAACUGAGACCUUAAAAAUUCCAGAAAAAAAACCUCUUAAAAAAUAAAUUAGAAAAAAAAAAAAGAAACA